RNAcentral lists this ribosomal RNA (465 nucleotides) under uncultured bacterium. Its description in RNAcentral is "partial 16S ribosomal RNA". It matches the Rfam family "Bacterial small subunit ribosomal RNA", at positions 28 to 507 of the family's 1533-position model. The record is from RNAcentral.
GAUGAACGCUGGCGGCGUGCUUAACACAUGCAAGUCGAACGGAAAGGCUCCUGCUUGCCGGGGUACUCGAGUGGCGAACGGGUGAGUAACACGUGGGUGAUCUGCCCUGCACUUCGGGAUAAGCCUUGGAAACUGGGUCUAAUACCGGAUAGGACGAUGGUUUGGAUGCCAUUGUGGAAAGUUUUUCGGUGUGGGAUGAGCUGGCGGCCUAUCAGCUUGUUGGUGGGGUAAUGGCCUACCAAGGCGUCGACGGGUAGCCGGCCUGGGAGGGUGGACGGGCACCAUGGGACUGCGAGACGGACCAGUAGCCUACGGGCAGCAGCAGGGGGGAGUAUUGCGCAAUGGGCGCAAGCCUGAGACAGCGGCGCCGCGUGGGGGAUGACGGCCUUCGGGUUGUAAACAACUUUCGCUGGAGACGAAGCGCAAGUGACGGUACCUGAAGAAGAAGCACCGGCUAACUACGUG